CGGAUAGAGGGCGCUGGUGAGCAGCGUGGACUUGAUGAUAAUGAAUGUCUGGAAAAUAGUUUCCUUCCAUUAAUUAACUCCAAGCCAUAUUAACCCAGGCGAAAGGAGAGGGAGGGAAACGAAUCAAUAGCUAACUUUAGUGAGCUCCAGUGAGGUCGUUUUAAUGAAGGAAGUUAAAUAUAAUUAGGUUGUUUUGUAUUUUUUCAGGCUGUAGGCGACAAACUCAUCACACUGAAGCCUAGCUAAACUCUUUAAACUCAUUAAGGCAUUAAUGGGCUCCAGACUUCUGUUUAAGCAGUCAAGAAAAUAAAACAGCAUUUGAUGUUACUGAGGAAAGUGUAAACUCCUAUUGUGAAGACCGUCAUGUGGUGGAAAACCUCCUGACUGUUACAAAGUACUGAAACCGGAGACUCCUUCCAUGUUAUUAGACAUGGAAGUCCCUGUGAAUGACUUGUUGCUAUAGAAACAAUAACGUAUUAUGCUGGGAGGUUCGGGCGUACGAGUUCGGAGCUGGAGCCCCUGUCAGAGCUGCUGCUGCUCCAGAAAAUGAAUCGACGCCUUCUGACCAAUCAGAUUUGAGAAAUCGGCACCACUGUGGUGUGAUCAUUUUUAUAUUGCAGAGCAGAUGAUGAUGAUGAUGAUGAUGAUGAUGAUGAUCAUCGCUCGAAGGAGGAAGUGACCGAAGUUCCGAGCACGGACCGUUUGCUCUUCACGGUGUCUUCUGGUCUCGUCCACGCUGAGCUCUGCGUUCUGCUCUACUUGCGAGGAUGGAU
This is a long non-coding RNA of Ictalurus punctatus (channel catfish), 773 nucleotides long. Lineage: Eukaryota; Metazoa; Chordata; Actinopteri; Siluriformes; Ictaluridae. The record is from Ensembl.